Molecule: ribosomal RNA, 473 nt
Filed under: uncultured bacterium
Lineage: Bacteria
Description: bacterial SSU rRNA
Rfam family: Bacterial small subunit ribosomal RNA
Source: RNAcentral
UGGGGAAUAUUGCGCAAUGGGCAAAAGCCUGACGCAGCAACGCCGCGUGAGUGAUGAAGGCCUUCGGAUCGUAAACCCCUGUCGAAUGGGACGAAAGACUCGCGAGUGAAUACUUCGCGAGAGUGACGGUACCGUUAAAGGAAGCCACGGCUAACUCUGUGCCAGCAGCCGCGGUAAUACAGAGGUGGCAAGCGUUGUUCGGAAUUACUGGGCGUAAAGGGCGCGUAGGCGGCCCUCUAAGUCAGACGUGAAAUCCCCCGGCUUAACCUGGGAACUGCGUCUGAUACUGGAGGGCUUGAGUAUGGGAGAGGGAUGUAGAAUUCCAGGUGUAGCGGUGAAAUGCGUAGAUAUCUGGAGGAAUACCGGUGGCGAAGGCGGCAUCCUGGACCAUUACUGACGCUGAGGCGCGAAAGCUAGGGGAGCAAACGGGAUUAGAUACCCCCGUAGUCCCUGAGCGGGCUGGCAAGGCGCAU